GCCUCCCUCCACCUGCAGGCUGUCCCCAGAAACCCUGGUGCUGUGGGGCGGCCUCGUGCUCAGGGGACCUGAGUCGCGAGCCCGUGUCGCCCGGCUGGGCUGCGUCACGGCGGGGAACACGCUCUCUAUCACGGGCUCUCCGGAAAACCGCCUCUUCAGAAUGCUUAAUGGCUUUUACACUUCAGAAACACCAAACGAGGUCUCAACAGCCAUCGUCCACCGCCGUGGCUGCUCUUUUAUGGAUGCAAAGCCCUCAAUUGUGACUCUGACAACUCAAAGCGAAUGAAGUGGAGGAUGCGAUGAUGUAUAAAAAAUACUUCAUGAAGAUGGAGACAGAAAAAUGUGGAGUAUCCAUAAAAGUUUCCGUGGUCCAUUGAAAUAAACCCCCUUCGAACUCCCGUCACCGUCCACGCGGCUCUUGAAGGAGGCCAUCCUGGG
Molecule: long non-coding RNA, 438 nt
Organism: Condylura cristata (star-nosed mole)
Lineage: Eukaryota; Metazoa; Chordata; Mammalia; Eulipotyphla; Talpidae
Exons: 3
Source: RefSeq, a predicted model, not a curated record